This 206-nucleotide ribosomal RNA is filed under the name uncultured bacterium. Its description in RNAcentral is "partial 16S ribosomal RNA". It matches the Rfam family "Bacterial small subunit ribosomal RNA", at positions 568 to 774 of the family's 1533-position model. The record is from RNAcentral.
CGCGCAGGCGGUUCGGUAAGUCGGUCUUAAAAGUGCGGGGCUUAACCCCGUGAUGGGAUUGAAACUGCCGGACUGGAGUGUCGGAGAGGAAAGCAGAAUUCCUAGUGUAGCGGUGAAAUGCGUAGAUAUUAGGAGGAAUGCCAGUGGCGAAAGCGGCUUUCUGGACGACAACUGACGCUGAGGCGCGAAAGCCAGGGGAGCAAACG